GACGCUGGCGGUAGGCUUAACACAUGCAAGUCGUGCGAGAAAGUACCUUCGGGUGCGAGUAGAGCGGCGGACGGGUGAGUAACGCGUAGGAAUCUACCUAGUAGAAGGGGAUAGCCCGGGGAAACUCGGAUUAAUACCGUAUACCUCCUUAGGGAGAAAGAGGGCUUAGCUUUGAUGCUCUCGCUAUUAGAUGAGCCUGCGUAAGAUUAGCUUGUUGGUGAGGUAAUGGCUCACCAAGGCGACGAUCUUUAGCUGGUCUGAGAGGACGAUCAGCCACAUUGGGACUGAGACACGGCCCAGACUCCUACGGGAGGCAGCAGUGGGGAAUAUUGGACAAUGGGCGCAAGCCUGAUCCAGCCAUACCGCGUGUGUGAAGAAGGCUUUCGGGUUGUAAAGCACUUUAAGUAAGGAGGAAAAGAUUGUAGUUAAUACCUGCAGUCCGUGACGUUACUUACAGAAUAAGGACCGGCUAAUUCCGUGCCAGCAGCCGCGGUAAUACGGAAGGUCCAAGCGUUAAUCGGAAUUACUGGGCGUAAAGCGCGCGUAGGUGGUUUUUUAAGUUGGAUGUGAAAGCCCUGGGCUCAACCUAGGAACUGCAUCCAAAACUAGAUGACUAGAGUACGAAAGAGGGAAGUAGAAUUCACAGUGUAGCGGUGGAAUGCGUAGAUAUUGUGAAGAAUACCAAUGGCGAAGGCAGCUUCCUGGUUCUGUACUGACACUGAGGUGCGAAAGCGUGGGUAGCGAACAGGAUUAGAUACCCUGGUAGUCCACGCCGUAAACGAUGACAACUAGCUGUUGGGAGACAAGAUCUCUCAGUGGCGCAGCUAACGCUUUAAGUUGUCCGCCUGGGGAGUACGGCCGC
This 862-nucleotide ribosomal RNA is filed under the name uncultured Gammaproteobacteria bacterium. RNAcentral describes it as "bacterial SSU rRNA". It matches the Rfam family "Bacterial small subunit ribosomal RNA", at positions 32 to 889 of the family's 1533-position model. The record is from RNAcentral. Lineage: Bacteria; Pseudomonadati; Pseudomonadota; Gammaproteobacteria.